UACGGGGGGGGCAAGCGUUGUCCGGAUUUAUUGGGCGUAAAGCGUGCGUAGGCGGCUGCGCAAGUCGGUUGUGAAACCCCGGGGCUCAACCCCGGAACUGCAUCCGAUACUGCGUGGCUAGAGGUAGGUAGGGGAGAUCGGAAUUCCUGGUGUAGCGGUGAAAUGCGCAGAUAUCAGGAGGAACACCGGUGGCGAAGGCGGAUCUCUGGGCCUUACCUGACGCUCAGGCACGAAAGCUAGGGGAGCGAGCAGG
Molecule: ribosomal RNA, 253 nt
Filed under: uncultured bacterium
Lineage: Bacteria
Description: partial 16S ribosomal RNA
Rfam family: Bacterial small subunit ribosomal RNA
Source: RNAcentral